UGGGGCGGUGGGACUUUGUUUAACCCCGUUGCCCCCGGGGCCAGGGGUCAAGGGUUUCCUCUUCCCCCGGGACAUGGUAGAGAGGCCGUCGGUCACAACAGGAGGACCGCGGCGGGGAGGGGGAUGUGACGGCCGCAAUGUUCCCCCCGCCCCGCCGCGGCCCUGACGUGCGAUCGGCGUUGGACCCCGUAAACCUCCACGUCUCCCCGGCGUCGAGAGGUUGAGGAAGGCUCCAGGUGGGUGUUUUGGGGGAACAAGAGGCGGUCAAACAUCAGCACGGGACAGAGGGGCAUGCGAAGAAGCGGCCCCUGCCCUACAGCAACCCCGGCUCUGCCUUCCCCUCCCAGGUGGAGCAGGACGUUUUUACCGGAGUGCCGGUUUUAUCGGGGUUUCACCCCCUCCCUCCACAGGCAGAGAUACCUCAGCUACCCCCCCGGAGCCAAGAAACGGGAGAGAAACGGGCAAUUUUUAUAGGUGACGUACGGGCUUACGUGAGAAUCCGUGCCCAGCACUGCUCUUUCAGUUUUUUUCUCCUGAAAUAACCCUUCCGUGCAGCUCGCACCUCCCUAUUCCAGCUCGCACCCCCUUUUCCAGGCUGGGGGGAAAUCGGGAGAGGGAGAAGCAAAAGGGAAAAGAAAAGCAUCCCCCAAUAUCCCGGUUUUUUCCUGCUCGGGCAGCGAGCCCCGGAGCUCCCAAAGUGAGCGGCGAAGAGGGCGACGGGAGACGGGCAGGAGCCGGCUCCGAGGUGGAGGGGUCGGGGGUGGGAUGAGGAUAGGGGAGGACCGUCCUUUUCGGGAUCAAGGGAGAACCAGCGAGGGAAGGAGGCUGGCGGCACCACAGGCAUCCGAGGUUUUCGACUCUGGGUGAGCAAAAGGAUUUCUUACACUCUCUUGGAAGAGGAGAAGACGCGCUUUUUUCCCCCUCUCUUUUUCCUUUUUUUUUCUUUUUUCUUUUUUUUUUUUAAUGGUGUUAAUUGCUUUUAAAAUAAAAUACGACGGAAUUUGGCAACGAGCUACAGUUUCUGCUGGCGGUGGCGUUUGGGGUUGUAUUUCCUUUCGUGGCAACUCGCAGAUGCAAAAAGGAAAAUAACGGGGGAAUUUAAAUACAUGAAUAUAAAGGCGAGGCGGCAUGUUCGGCUGUUGCAGAUCUCUCGGGCUCGAUCGGUUUAUUUUUUCCUACAUAGAAAACCUGUCUGGGGAUCCCUGUGUAUUCAUCGGGGCGGCGAGAGACUCCCCAGAGCCGCUCCGGGGCAUCGGUGGAGUGAAUCGGAGAUAAAAAAUAGGAGCCAGGUUUAACGCAGGAAGGAAGAGGAGGAGAGGUCGGAAGCGAAGUAAAGCUCCCGGCCGCCCUGCCCCGGCCGUGCCCGCAUCCUGGAGCGGACGGACGGACGGACGGACAGAUGGCCGGCAUCCCCGACGGAGGGAUGUUUCUGUCUUUGGUUAUCUAGCUGUAUGAGUGUUGUGGAGCCAUCAUAAAGCUAGAUAACCGAAAGUAGAAAUGACUUCCAGACCUGCUCGCCCGGGGGAAGCGGCCGCACCAGGACCGGCGGUGCAGAGACGGCCCGACUCGCCGCCUUGGGGCUCCAGGGCCAGCAAAGCACCGCCAUAACCACAGUAAGGAAAAAGGAUCUCAGCCUGAAUUUGGCUAUACCGGGAGAAAGAAAAGUUCUGAGGAGCUGUUAUUAUAUAUUCUAAUGAGAAGUCAUUGGAGAAAUUAAAAAGGGCAGAGAAAGACGAAGACGCCAGCACUAAUUCCACAGGAAGCCUCCCAGGGAAAAGGCUGUGUGAGUGUGAACGCUGAAAAGCAUGAAGGCCUGGAAUUAGACUAUCAUUUAGAAAGCGUUACUAAUCCGAAGUUACAGCAGUAAUUCCAUGAUUUGCUGGGUCCCACACGCAGCGCCAGAAUUAAAGAUACGGAUUUUCUAGAAAUGUAACUCAACUGUGGCACCGAGUCUCGGGAAGAUCCGAAUGAAUCAUUCAUUCCAAAGGCAGCGAAAGACGUGUCAUUAAGAACCAUCCUCCUUCUCUCCAGCCCAUCUGGAAUAUGUAUACUCGAUGCAAUCCCAGAAAUUGUGGAAGAGAUUGGAGGUGGGGAGGAGGGAAUGUAGUCCUUUCCCUCCUUUAUUAUGUUGGUUAUUUUUAAGAAAUAAUUUUCCAAUUAUUUUCACAAUAUUGUGAGUGGCGCUCAAUUCUUCUCCUAUUUAUUUUUUUCCCCCUUUCCUACGCCAGCAUCGAGUCAGGUGCAAGCGGUUUCAGUGGAGAUGCUUUAAAACUAGACUGAACAAAGCAGGAGGGAACUGAGCAAGGUGGUUGAUGAAUGCAUUUAUUCCGGAGUAAUGAUUUGAUGGGGGAUGGAGGAAAGAAACAUUCAAAUUCCUAAUGAAUAUAAUUCAGGAGGAAUCAUUCAACCAGCGUGUUAGAGAAAAUCUGUUUGGUGGGAGUGUUUCUGCACUGGCAGAACCCAGGAGGUAUUUCUGUCCUUGGCUUUUGUAAUUGCAAAAGGUGAAAAUAUAAAAAGAGGAUCUGAGGAAAAAAAAAUAUACACACAUAUAAUAAAUGUCUUUGUGUGUGUGUAUAUAAAUACAUAUAUAUAUAUAUAUAUAAUUUCAUGAAAUAAAAUGCAAGUGUGGCAAUCCGUGUCUACAUGAGAACUCUUACAAAGGAUCAAUGCAAGUUUUUUCACCUUGCUCUUUAAUCAGGUGGUCAGAAACCACCCUUGACUUCUACUAUAUUUUUUUUCUCCCCAAAAUUGCCUGUUCUGAGCUGAUUUUUCAGAUAUUUUUUCAGGCUAUGGACUCGAUUCACUAAGCCCAGAGCAGUGUCCCCAAAGGGGAUUGAGACAGGGACCGAGCGAUUUGGCCUUUAGUGUCUGGGAGAGAGAAAUUGCAGUUGAAUUUUUUCUGGUGCUUAAAUUCUUCGCUUUUGCCCCCAUUGUUGACGUGAACCUGUGGGUGUUUGGAGGAGAUGUGGAGGUGGCACCCCCUCAGUUAAUGAAGGAGGUGGCAGUGAGUGAUGGGGGACAGUGGCAUGAGAAUCCCCAGCUCAUGGGAAGGGUGGAGGGCGAGGAGGCAGAUAAAGCCCCCCAGCAAAUCCCUACUUGCGACAUACCCGCUGCAUUUAAAGAAUCCCUGGCAGCCCACUGACAGGUCUCUGCUUUCUGUCAUUUUUUUUUUUUUUAAGUGCUAUGGUGGAAGAAAGGUCCAUAAGGGUCCAUCCUUGGGCCAGGGAUGGAUUUUGGCUACGCAUGGUUCCCUUUGUGGCUUAGCCUUUUCCCCUAUAUGUGUAGCUGUUGGCUUUGGAUGGGUCUUUUCCCCUGCGUAGCCAAAACCCCAAAGGGAAGGUGUCUCUUUGGGCUGUGCUGAGAGGAGAGCCCACAAUGUCCUAGCAUUCCCAGCUCUUUCUCUUCUCAGUGGGACUCUCCUGGUGUAGCAAUGGGAUGCAGCGUAGGCCAAAUGUGGGUGAGGUUCCUGAAGCUGGGCCAUGAUGUCUUUGUUCUUCAGGCAGAGGUGGGGAUGGGCAGAGGGAGACAGAAACAGAAGAAUCAGUGUGUGCCAUUGGGGGAUAAAUGGAAAAUAUAAUUUGUGGGUUUCACCUUGGGGAAAUGAUGCUCUGUGGCAUUGAGUGCUCCAACUCACGAUUUCCGAUCUUUUCCUAAGACUCGGCCACCAUGCAGCGCGUUUGGCUCAAGGGAUGAGGUGAAGGGGGUUUGUACCAGAUACCUGGGUAAGCCAAACUCGCCUGGGCUCAGAGGCAGAUGGAGAAUGGGAUAUUACAUCCCUGCUAUUCGAAGAAGCUGCCUUGGAAGCCAGGCCAUGCAAACCCUCCCGCUUGGUUAUGGGUGAAAUCCCAUCAAUGGGCAUUUUUGUGGAAUUGCCUGGCAAUGGUGUGUUCGAUGCUUGGGGCUGGGCUCAGCCAUUUCUUUUGUCUCUCUUGGCUCCCAUCCCCUCUCUGCACCCUUGAUGCAGGCGGACGGUGCCUCCCUUUACCUGCUGCUCUGCCCUGGCUUUGUCCGUGCCACCUGAGGAAGGGCAGAGCCCAGGGCCUUGGAGGGCACAUCCAACCUGUGGCUGCGGAUGGGUGCUGCUCAUGCACCAAGGAGGGAUUGUGGCUGCGUGCUGGAAACACACUUUCUCAUUUCUGCGUGGAGGGAAGGUGCUAAUUUGGCAUCUGUGCAGGUGCAAGCACUGAGGGCUGGUGCCUGGCACGUGGCAGUGCACGUGUGCCGUUCAUGGGGUGGGUACUCCGUGUCACCCCUGUCACCGAUGCUCCCACAUCACGGACCCUCAGUUUUCUCUGGGUGUCUCUGGGGGCCACGAGCAUAAGAUGGACCAGUGGCUGCCCACCUGGCUUCCCCGCCACAUGGUACUGGGCGUCGCCCUGGCUAGGUCAGGGAUUUCUGUGCCUACAAGCCUAGUCACCUCAGGAAGGUGUUUGCCAAGAGCCAGGCUGGAAAAACACUAUCUCGAGCUUUUCGCCAUCCUUCUCUCCCUCUGGGUGAACGUGUUUGGAACCAGAGCUUGCACAUGAAGCUGGGCCAUCACACUGCCCACAGCCAUGCUCCCGGGAUCUGCAAAGAGUCAGGACAAGGCUCUGGCUUUCCUGUUUUCUGAUAUUUAUUCAGGGGCUCAGGUUUGGUUAGGAGCGUUUGCCUCGAAAGCUGAGGAGUGGAGGUAAAAAAAAGAAAAUGGGGGAGCAAAAGAACACAAUCUCUGGCAGUUAGCUGUCUCUUGGAAACUCAGUUUGCUGUUCCUAUAGAGGCUUUCUCUUUUCCUUCACCCUGGUCUGGCCUUAAGUACCACUUUAAGCGGGCUUUGCUCAUUCACAUCCAGGCUCCUUAGAGCAAUUGAGCCUGCGGGGGUUUGAAAAGAAGGGACAGUCCUUCAAUGGCAGGACCUUGGGCCAGGCUAAUUGGUUUUGGUUCAAGGGGAUACUGGAUUUGUGAAAAGCCCAAAGACAUCUUUCCCACGCCAAAUCCCAGCUCUUCAGAGGGGGAAGUGAGGGGUGCUGGGUGGAGAAGGGAGCUGAAAGAAAUGUGGUUUAGUUGAGGAACCUCUGUAAGGAUCCAGACGCCCACCAGGCUCGGCAGGGCUGGGUGCAGCGGGGGGCAGUGCCCAGGGGAGCAUGGCAGCAGGGGGACUGUGUCCCUCCUCCUCAGGGUAGGUGGGUGGCGGUAGCUGGCUCCCACCACUGGCACUCUGGCAGUGGUGGCCUGGUUUCAUUAAAACCAGGCUUUUUCAAUGGAUGCCAGACUCCUGUGGAGAUGGCAGGAAUGAAGGAAGGAUGGGACCUGGGUCCAGAAACCAAGUUGCUUCUGUUUACUCGCCUGUGCAGCCAUGGGGGGAAUUUGUUGAGGUCUCUUGUAUCUCAUUUUGAUUUAGGAAUUUAUUUAUUUUUAAACAUUGACUCUCUCUGGCACCAUUCCAGCAGUCCCACGACCUUUACUCUCCUCGAUCCAUAAAAAUUACUUAAUUAUUAGGCUGAAAAUCAAGGCUUGGAAACAAAGCCAACUUAUGGGACCAUCAGUUCUUGAUAUAUUUCCUGAGAGGACAUAUUUCUGGGCACCUUCAGAGCAGAGCACGCAGCUUGUUGGAUAUGAGAUAUCAAGGCAUUAUUUAUUGAGGAAGUCUUCACACUCCCUCAUCUGUUAUAAUUAACUGAUGACAUUUUUUCUUAGGUUCAAAAUAUGGCGAAAAAGUGUAAUUAGCACGAAGCUGAGGCACUGCAUUAAAAUGUCUCCUAUAGUUAAUGUAGAGUAGUCGUGCUAUUUAUUAUAGGAGGAGCUGGCUCUGACCUCUGUGUUGCCUAACACUUUUUAUUGUAAAGAUUCUUGAACUUUUUUUUUCUUUUUGAGCACCUCUGACACUCCCAUUGUUUGCUGUGGGCCCUUGAAAUUCGUCCGGGGGAAGCGCUUUGGCUAGAGAAAUGCCUAUUCUUUGUCCCUUAAAUUCCUUUCAGGUUUAGCUGAAUUAUGAAUUGGUCAGAAUUGCGAUUUCACUUUGGUUGCCUCUUGAGGUGGUGGUGGUGGGAAAUUAAAAUGUAUUGUUUCCCUGGAAUAAUAAUAACAGAUCAGGAGCAGGGUGAAGCCAUGGACUCCCACCACUUUAUUGAAGAGCUCUGGACCAGCCAGGGAAGGUGGGAGGAUGUUUACAGCCAACUCCAUCACCCCCUUCCACCUUUAGCUCAUAUCCUUCUAGCAUGGCCCCACCUCCUGGGAGCAAACUCCUCUGGGUCCUGGAGCCAGGAGGAAAAAGUGUAGGGGGUGUGGGUGUGUUGGCCUGGGCACUGCCAGCCUCAGCGGUCCCCUUCCCUGCCGGCCCCGGGAGAGCAGCCUUCUGCCGCUGCCAGAUAACAUUAGUCCUGUAUUUCAUAGUGGCAGAAAUCUGUGCCGAGGCUUGGGGCUUGAAAUCGUUCUGCCCGCACAGGAUGAAGCAGGGAUGGGUGCGGGGUGGAGGAAGGGGAAUUUGUUACACUUGCCUACAAUUGUUUUUCUUUUUGCUUAUAUAAACAAUCUAUUAUUUAUUAGGUAUAAAUAAUGCAUUUUUCUGUAUGUUUAGAAUGCACGUGAUUUCUGUAUAUUAAAAAUGUACAUGGUUGAAGGCACCAAAGCAGGCGCUGGCAAGUCAGGGGGUACCCGAUUUCAUUUUGACCAUGAGACGUUAAUUCAGCCUCUCCCUGCCCGUGCCCUUACGAGGCUGACAACACGGUCACAGCCUAUUUUUAGCUCCCUCCCUCUUUUGCUGUCCAGCUGCACAGCGAGGUGGAAUUAAGGUUGCAUGGGCAGCCAUAAAUUGGACACUUCCUAACUUCGAAGUGCUUGACCACGCAAUCUAAGCAAGGGCUCUUCAGGGCAGUAUUUCUGCAUGUGGCAUUAUCUGCGUUGGCCAGGCACGUCAAAUACAGGGGUAGAGAAGCCUUAGAGCAGAAAAGACCUAUCAGACUAUAGAAAGUGCUUGUUUGAAUAGAUGAGGGAGUCAACAGAACCUACACUUGAUCUGAGCUAAAUGGCCAAGAAGAUGUCUCCAAGCUGAGAGGGGGAAGCCUUUGUUCCUUCAGUCCCAGCCUUGAUGUUUUCUUUGGUUUUGCCUCGUUCUCUCCUAGGGAGGUUUGGGCUCCUGCUCUGGAGGAACCUUUGGCUUGCGUAGCGAAUUCAUGUGCUUGUAAAAGCGAGAGUGUCCCUAGGAAUGUGCACCCCCAUACUCGCUCCCGUCACCGCACCAGCAGAUGUGUGCUACCAGCUCACAGAUACCUGCUGAUUGGCAUCCUUGCCUUGCCUUGCCCUGCACACUCCCUCUUUCCCAUGUUGCUGUCAGGAGCUGUUCCACAUGUUGGAGGGAAAGGAGAGGCCUUUGUGUUUUACAUAGGAGGGAUAAUCUCAUUUUUAACUGCUGGAAGAAUUACUCCAAAGGUGAUUAUAUGCAAUGCACAUUUAUCUUUGCUUGAAAUAGCACUUUUUUUGUUGUUUUUUUUUUUUUCUUUGUUUACUGGUGGGUAUCUUCAUUCUGACUCUCAAUAAGAUGCUGGCUGUCUGUUUUAUAGUGGAGUGGGCACCUCAAGCAAAUCCAUCUGGGAAGUAAUCAGCCUUUUGUUUUACUUUCCUGGGUGUAAUGCAGUCACAGCCCUUUGCACAUACUUGUGCUGAUACCAGAGCAUUCUCCCCUGGCCAGCAAUGUAUUUGCCCUGGGUUAUAAUUACUUGACCUGGCAGUUUUGCCUUGUGGAUUCCUGGAACCUGAUACCUGCCUGGGGCUGUUUCUGGAUCAGCACGGGUAUCUAAGUGUCCUACAUUUGGGUUUCCAUCAUUUGGGUUUGGCUUGUGUUCCCUGAGCAUCUCUUUCAUAACUUUCCCCCUUUCUCCUGCCUCUCAGUUCAGCAAAGGGCCUGUCUAUCUGGAUGCAGGCAAUAAACAUCUGUUCUCACCCUCACUUCUGUUAAUGAGAUAGAGACAGGUAAGCAUCACACAUACCAACUUCCCUGCUCUCAGCAACAUCAAGGAAAUGGUGACAAGCUAUUAAUGGAAAGUGAUGGUCUGGGUGCUAAUUAGUGCUUCCUUUUCAACUUUUACCUACAUGUCUGCCGAGAUGCCCAUCCCAGUCUCUCCUCUCUCCUUGCAUCCCUUUGUUUCCAGCAGGUUCCAUGUUCACUGUGCGCAUCCCAUGUCAAAGAGGCUUCUCUCUUUAUUUUUUCUCUACCAAUCACUUUCUGCAUCUCUUUCAUUCCCUCAUUUUUCCAUGCACCCUCAUUCUCCUGCAGUUGUUCCAGGCAAAGAAUAAGCACCAUAUUAUAGUAGGAUUUGAAAUCUUGGGGAUGGGACAUGUGAAGUUGGUCAGGAGUUUCUCAUCUUCAUCAGUAGGUAGUAAUAUUUGCUUGUGGCACCAGUGCACGGGGUCAAAUUACCCUGGGGACAUGAGGUCAGAGAUCUGUCCCCUCUUCCCACAGGUAAUGCUGUAGUGAGGCUCCCAGCAGCUCACAGGUCUUGAUCAUGGAGUAAUUAGUAUUUAAAGCAGAUCCUCUGGUAAUGCCCAGAGACUAAGUAGGACAGGCUUCCGUGGUGUGAGCCUGCAGGAGAUGACAGGUCCUGCCCCAGAGAGCUUGUGGUCUAAACUCUAAAUGAUUUUGCUGUCCACCAGACCCUGUUAAUGGCUGGUUUUUGAGAUCCAGCCCAAUUUAUGCUGCUGCAGCAACGUGAUUCCUGGUCUCAGCUUGGUGCCCAGUCUCUCCUGUUUCUCUUUCUUCUGGUCCCUGGGCUCUGCCCCUUCCCCAGGGACCCUAAUCAUCCCCUCCUCACCUCUUUUGCACGGGCUGUGGGUUUCUUGCUGCCAGGCUUGUGUCCCAAGGAGCUGCCUAAUCUGCCCCUGUCAUUCCCAGUCACAGGCUCUGCACACACCAUAGCUUUAUGGGGAAUGCUUGCAGGGCAGUGGGAAGAGGCAGCCAUGGUUUGCACAUCAGCUAAUUAAUUUUCAUGACUGAACGGUGCUGCCUGGUCUCUUGUUUAUACUCCUCGCCGCUCCCCUUCUCCCCCUCCUCGCUGACACACACACAAGACGACACAUCUCGUAGGAACGUCAGCAUCCUUCCACAGCCUUGAGACGCGAGCGGUUAUUCUGUUGGCUUGUCAAACGCGGGUUUCCCUGCUUCAUGGUACACAGGGGCCCCCUGUUUCACAUUUGCUGAUUCUUAUUAGACCCAGCGCGCCAGGGCCUUGUCUCUCCCCGCAAAGCAACGUGCCGCAUCCCAUCCAUAAAUCCAAUCCUGGAACAAAGCCUCUUCUACCCUGCCCCAUAUUUCUACCCAGCCUGCCCGCUUUCCCCUCUCUCUCUCUCUCUCCCCCUCUCCCGUGCUGAAGGUUUCCUAGUGCCAGGGAGAUAUGAUAAUUCUUGUGAAGAGAGCAUGAAAUGCCUCUGCUCUUUGUGUCUGUUUAAUUCAAUGAGAAUCCCAGCCCCAGAUGUCAUGAAUGGUGGGCUUUGUGCUGGCCCUUCCUAAGCCCUAACCGCCAGCCCAGCUCUCUGUCUUUCUUGUUUCCCACCACUGGAUACUGAUUAACAAACUAAAUUAUUUUUCCUCCCUAAUGAUGUUUUCCCACUUUGCCCACCAGGCUGGAAGAAGCCACGGGGAGGAAAGAGUUUGUGCAAAGGAUGAGAUAGCCAGGGAGAAAAUUAAAGAGACAGUGUUGCUCUCUGGGCUCUGGCAAUGCAGGUCCGCUCGGCUUUAUUUCCUUAUUAGAGAAUGGGGUCGUGUCUGGCUGUAUUUUACGUGGCUGGGUGUAUUUCAGCCGAGGGAUGGGCUUGAAAGCAUCUGCGCAAGGUACGCUCUGGAGCAUGCGAAGGUCCGUAACUCACUUGCAAUUGCGUGUGCGAGUUUGCAUGGUCCCAAAUUUAAGGUCUCUUUUCCAGCCGUGAGUGACAUGUGGUAAUUAUUUGACAUCCGUCCAUGCAUAUGGGAACCUCUUUCUAAUUGAGACAAAUUCUCUUUUCCUUAAUCAGACAUGACUGAGAGUUCGUGGAGUGGGAUGCCUUGGGAAGGGCUGGGACGUCUCCACCUGAGCAAGGAGAGAUCCCAGCAAGUGGAGAAGGGAUUUUUCAAGCCCGUGAGUUCCUUUGAGUUGUUGGCUACCGCCUGCCCAGACUUGCCACCUGACUUCUCCGAGUUUCUCCAGGAGGGUCCCAACUGCUUCUGCAUUGGCCCCAGAGAGGAGGCAGCUUUGAUUCAUGAGCACAGCGGGUUUCUGCAUCACUUCGAAUCACGCCGGUCCACCCAUGGGGAGGGAGCCAGGGCAACACAAGGGAUCAUCCCACAUCACUCCUGUAUGUUGCCUUCAGUGCCCUCAAUACCCCUGAGCAGGACCAAAGCGCUUAGACAGAGAGACCCAAGCCAGUCACUGUAACAACUGGUGAAAUAUCGGGUGUGCGAAGGUUGGAAGGAGCUUUUCGCUCCCAGCUUUGCUUAUGGAGCAGAGCUUGGCCCUUGCUGCUCUUGAUCCCUGGGUCUGUGGAGCUGUGGGAGCACAGCCUUCCCAAAGGUGCUGUGCUUGUGGCCCAGAGGACCGUGAGCCUGUCCAGGCCAGACAGCCCUGCUGCUGUUGUGCUGCACCCUCUCUGUUCCUGUAAGAGAAACGUACUGCCUGUAAUUAUCUCCCAUUCAAAUCCCACCCCCCCAAGCACUGUUGAAAAUAAACUCUCCCUUU
Lepidothrix coronata (blue-crowned manakin) is the source of this 10679-nucleotide long non-coding RNA. RefSeq lists it as uncharacterized. The record is from RefSeq and is a predicted model, not a curated record. Lineage: Eukaryota; Metazoa; Chordata; Aves; Passeriformes; Pipridae. The transcript has 5 exons.